Molecule: long non-coding RNA, 438 nt
Filed under: Helianthus annuus (common sunflower)
Lineage: Eukaryota; Viridiplantae; Streptophyta; Magnoliopsida; Asterales; Asteraceae
Rfam family: Small nucleolar RNA snoR27 (bases 1-93)
Source: RNAcentral
UGCGGAUCGAUGAUGUAUUUGAAGAAACUGCGUUAUCUAUCUGUUAAUUCCUUUACCGGAUCUGAUGAUAAUAUUAUCUUCCUGAGAUCUUAUCAUUCUUUUUAUUUCAUACUCUUUUUUUUUUAUAAAACUAGUAUUAUUUCUUUUCCUUUUUUUUUUUAAUUUGAAACAGGAAUUUUAAGUUUUUAUAUGUAUCGAUGAUGUUUAAAUAUUACUGCGUUAUCUAUCUGUAAAUUCCUCAACAGGAUUUGAAGAUAAUGAAAACCUACUGAGAUCUGAUUUUGUAUCCAUUACGAGUUUAUUAUUUUAUAUUUUUUUAUGAAUUUUUUAAAGGAAGAUUGAAAUUAGAGGGUCGAUGAUGAUGCAUUUCACUUUGUUAUCCUUGCACUUUGAUACAUAUAUGAAGAAAACUAUGGGGAAAGUUAUUCUGAGAGCUUU